GCCGAAGAUGUCCGGGGCUAAAGUACGGAACCGAAGCUUUGGCAAUUAACAUAAGUUAAUUGGGUAGGGGAGCGUUCCUGCAUGGGAGAAGCCUGACCGGAAGGACAGGUGGACAGGCAGGAAGAGAGAAUGCCGGUAUGAGUAGCGAAAAGAAGGGUGAGAAUCCCUUCCACCGAAAGCCUAAGGGUUCCUGGGCAACGAUCGUCGUCCCAGGGUAAGUCGGGACCUAAUCCGAGGCGGAGACGCGUAGGAGAUGGACAACAGGUUGAAAUUCCUGUACUGGCUGAGGCCGUUUGAGCGAAGGAGUGACACAGGAAGGAAGGCGCGCGUGCGAAUGGAAGAGCACGUCCAAGCAGGUAGGUCGGGAGACAGGCAAAUCCGUUUCCCAUAAGGCCGAGAUGCGAUGGGGAGCUUCUGGAGACAGAAGCGAAGGGGCUGGCACUAAACUGUCGAGAAAAGCUUCUAGUGAGGACUCAGGCACCCGUACCGAAACCGACACAGGUAGGCAGGAUGAGAAUUCUAAGGUGCGCGGGAAAACCCUCGUUAAGGAACUCGGCAAAAUAUAUCCGUAACUUCGGGAAAAGGAUAACCCAGCGUACGUGAAGUGCAGAAGCGCAUGGAGCGGAGAUGGGUGGCAGAAGAGAGGCCCAAGCGACUGUUUACCACAAACACAGGCGUCUGCUAAAGCGAAAGCUGAUGUAUAGAUGCUGACACCUGCCCGGUGCUGGAAGGUUAAGAGGAAGUGUUAGCGCAAGCGAAGCAGUGAAUUGAAGCCCCAGUAAACGGCGGCCGUAACUAUAACGGUCCUAAGGUAGCGAAAUUCCUUGUCGGGUAAGUUCCGACCCGCACGAAAGGUGUAACGAUUUGGGCACUGUCUCAACGAGGGACCCGGUGAAAUUGAAGUACCUGUGAAGAUGCAGGUUACCCGCGACUGGACAGAAAGACCCCAUGGAGCUUUACUGUAACCUGAGAUUGGAUUCCGGUAAGAGAUGUACAGGAUAGUUGGGAGGCUGAGAAGUGAGUACGCCAGUAUUCACGGAGCCGCUGGUGGGAUACCAACCUUGUUUUAUUGGAAUUCUAACGAGAAGCGUAACGAGCUUGCGGACAGUCUCAGGCGGGCAGUUUGACUGGGGCGGUCGCCUCCGAAAGAGUAACGGAGGCGCCCAAAGGUUCCCUCAGCGCGGACGGAAACCGCGCGAAGAGUGCAAAGGCAGAAGGGAGCUUGACUGCGAGACGGACAGGUCGAGCAGGGACGAAAGUCGGGCUUAGUGAUCCGGUGGUAGAGAGUGGAAUUGCCAUCGCUCAACGGAUAAAAGCUACCCUGGGGAUAACAGGCUUAUCUCUCCCAAGAGUCCAUAUCGACGGGGAGGUUUGGCACCUCGAUGUCGGCUCAUCACAUCCUGGGGCUGAAGUAGGUCCCAAGGGUUGGGCUGUUCGCCCAUUAAAGUGGUACGCGAGCUGGGUUCAGAACGUCGUGAGACAGUUCGGUCCCUAUCCAUCGCGGGCGUAAGAAACUUGAAAGGGGCUGCUCCUAGUACGAGAGGACCGGAGUGGACCGACCAAUGGUGUACCAGUCAUGGCGCCAGCCGUGCAGCUGGGUAGCUACGUCGGGGACGGAUAAACGCUGAAAGCAUCUAAGCGUGAAACCAGCCUAGAGAUGAGGUUUCUCAUUGUUUUAACAAGUAAGGUCCCACAAAGACGAUGUGGUUGAUAGGCCGGGAGUGGAAGUACAGCGAUGUACGGAGCGGACCGGUACUAAUAGACCGAGGACUUGACUUA
Molecule: ribosomal RNA, 1779 nt
Filed under: human gut metagenome
Description: bacterial LSU rRNA
Rfam family: Bacterial large subunit ribosomal RNA
Source: RNAcentral